UACGGGGGGUGCGAGCGUUGUUCGGAAUCACUGGGCUUAAAGGGCGCGUAGGCGGGUGCUCAAGUCUGUGGUGAAAUCCUCCGGCUCAACCGGAGAACUGCCAUGGAUACUGGGCGUCUCGAGUGUGGUAGGGGUAUGCGGAACUAUCGGUGGAGCGGUGAAAUGCGUUGAUAUCGAUAGGAACUCCGGUGGCGAAGGCGGCAUACUGGACCACCACUGACGCUGAUGCGCGAAAGCCAGGGGAGCAAACGGG
Molecule: ribosomal RNA, 253 nt
Filed under: uncultured bacterium
Lineage: Bacteria
Description: partial 16S ribosomal RNA
Rfam family: Bacterial small subunit ribosomal RNA
Source: RNAcentral